RNAcentral lists this long non-coding RNA (594 nucleotides) under Vigna radiata. RNAcentral describes it as "long non-coding RNA (VRAD_LNC018405)". The record is from RNAcentral. Lineage: Eukaryota; Viridiplantae; Streptophyta; Magnoliopsida; Fabales; Fabaceae.
AGUUUGAUAAUACUUUUUACUUAUUAAAAUGGUACGAGUGGUAAGAAAAAAAGAGGAGAGAAAGGGGAGAAGUUUGAGCUAAUGCUGGUGGUGGUGGUAAUGAAAGCAUAACAACAAUAUGGAGUCACAAUGGUGACACAGAAGACCAAUGACAAUGGUGACCGAGGUUGUAGGAGGAUAAGGAAGAGAAAAAGGAAGAGAAAGAGAAAAAGAAGGAUGAUGAGUUAAAAAAAGUGACAAUUGAUGCAAUGACAACAACACCAACUAUGGAAGCGCAACUUAGAAGAAGGAAGGAAAGAAGAAGAAAAAAGAAAUAUGAAGAGAAAAAAGAAUAACCCAAUCAUGACUUUAACUAAAGGUUAGAAUUUGUCUCUAAUUAUUGAUGAAUUUUUAGAUAGACAUGUGACCAUUAACAAUUAUCAAUGAAUCCGCCAAUAAAAUUUCUCAACAAAUCAACAAAAUUAUUAUAAAAUUUUACUAUUAUUAAUGGAUUGUGUCAGUUAAUAAUAUAUCAUUGUGAUGCAUUAUAAAAAUUACUUGCCUCAAUUUUCUUACCUAAUUCCUGGGAAAAUCCUUAAACAUCUCAUGUGGAGG